GAAGAGGGUGGAGGUGAAGGUGGUGGUGGCGGUGGUGGUGGUGGAGGAGAAGGAGGAGGAGGAGGUGAGGAGCUUUGAUGGCAGUAGUUGGGCCCAGCCGGCACUCGCGGGUGUCCAUGAGCGUGUCUAUGUCGCUGAUGCAGGGGGGCGGGGCGGGGACGACAGGUGGAGGCGGGACGACGGGGCCCGGGGCCCACCCGGGCCAGGCGGUACUCGCGGCCGCCGCCGCUGCCGCCGCCGCCGCGGCGACUCAGCCGACCCCCACCUAUUAUCAUCCCGCCGCACCCGCGCCACCCCCACCACCACCGCCCGCGCAGGAUCCCGUCCAACCCGACAGACCCAUCGGCUACGGCGCCUUCGGUGUUGUCUGGGCUGUCACGGAUCCGAGGGAUGGUAGGAGAGUGGCCUUAAAGAAACUGCCGAAUGUCUUUCAAAGUCUCGUCAGCAGCAAACGCGUUUUCAGAGAACUGAAGAUGCUUUGUUUCUUCAAACACGAAAACGUUCUCUCGGCCCUGGAUAUCUUACAACCGCCGCAUCUCGACUUCUUCCAAGAAAUAUAUGUGAUCACGGAGCUACUCCAAAGCGAUCUUCACAAGAUCAUCGUCAGCCCGCAGCACCUAAGCCCCGAUCACAUCAAGGUCUUCCUUUAUCAAAUUCUUCGAGGUCUGAAGUAUCUUCACUCAGCCAGAAUUCUCCAUAGAGAUAUCAAGCCAGGGAAUCUUUUAGUGAACAGCAAUUGCGUCUUAAAAAUCUGUGAUUUUGGAUUGGCACGCGUGGAAGAGCCCGACCAGAACAAGCACAUGACUCAGGAAGUGGUAACGCAGUAUUAUCGUGCCCCGGAAAUUCUAAUGGGUGCACGACAUUAUACCGCAGCCGUCGAUGUAUGGAGUGUCGGUUGCAUUUUCGGCGAGCUUCUUCGACGACGAAUUCUCUUUCAAGCUCAGAGUCCUGUGCAACAGUUGGAAUUGAUCACGGAACUGCUAGGCACCCCAACCCUCGAGGACAUGAGGUACGCUUGCGAGGGUGCAAGGACUCACAUGCUGAGGCGUGCACCGAAACCACCCUCGUUGACGGCUCUCUAUACCCUCAGCAGCCAGGCGACGCACGAGGCCGUCCAUUUGCUCUGCCAGAUGCUAGUCUUCGAUCCUGACAAGAGGAUCACCGUGGUGGAUGCCCUGGCGCAUCCUUAUCUGGACGAGGGAAGACUCAGAUAUCACUCGUGCAUGUGCACGUGUUGCUACACAACGAGUGCUGGGAUGAGACAGUACACUGGGGAUUUCGAGCCAGCGACUACUCAUCCCUUCGACGAUCUCUGGGAGCGAAAACUGACGAGCGUGCAGCAGGUGAAAGAGGAAAUGCACAAAUUUAUAGCGGAGCAGCUGAAUACGUCGCGCGUGCCGCUCUGCAUAAAUCCGCAGUCCGCGGCAUUCAAGAGCUUCGCAAGUUAGAGCAAGCUGAUCGCCGAUCCAGCAUCCUGCGCCGCGUAUACGUACACAUAACUACUACUACUACUACUGCUACUGCUACUGCUACUACUACUACUACUGCUACUACUACUCUACUACUACUACUACUACUACUACUACUACUACUACUACUACUACCACUACCACUACUAUCGAAUCAUCUACCAUGAACCACAACUACUAUUGUCUACUACCACUAUCGUCUAGUACUACUACUACUACUACCACCACCACCACCACUACCACCACAACCACCACCAUUACUACUACUAUAACUGCUACUGCUACUUUACUACUACUGCUAUUACUACUGCUCUACCAUACUGCUACUUCUACUACUACCACUACUACUACUACUACUACUACUACUACAACUACAACUACUACUACUACUACCACCAAUCGUGUUACGUCUCCUCCUGAACGAACCGAAAGAACAGAGAGUCAGCAAUAAGUCGUCUCGACCUCGCUCGCAGAGCUCGACGGUGGCCCACCCUUCGGAACUGCCACCCUCUCCUCACCAAUGGGAAUAAAUCUUCUCCGUGGAAUAAGAAAGAGAGACACACAAAAAAAAACACAGACAAAGAAUGAAUGAACGAAAGAAAGAAAGAUAGAAAGAAAGAGUGUAUGCGUGUGUAUGUAUGUGUGUGUGUGUGUGAGAGAGAGAGAGAGAGAGAGAGAGAAAAUAAGUAAGAAAUAGAGAGGACACGUAACUCACAAGAAUGGACCGUGUUUCCCGGUAUUCCUUAGACGUAUUCUCGUUUUUACGUCGUCAUUUGGACGAUCUUUUCGAAAGAAAAAGAGAAGCGAGUUUAUACUUAUCCGGGAAGACAAAACAAGAAGGAAGAA
RNA transcript from Vespa crabro (European hornet), 2315 nucleotides. It is a transcript of the gene named serine/threonine-protein kinase NLK, with no coding region annotated. The record is from RefSeq and is a predicted model, not a curated record. The transcript has 11 exons. Lineage: Eukaryota; Metazoa; Arthropoda; Insecta; Hymenoptera; Vespidae.